Molecule: transfer RNA, 82 nt
Filed under: Acidimicrobiia bacterium
Lineage: Bacteria; Bacillati; Actinomycetota; Acidimicrobiia
Description: tRNA-Leu
Rfam family: tRNA
About the family: Transfer RNA (tRNA) molecules are approximately 80 nucleotides in length. Their secondary structure includes four short double-helical elements and three loops (D, anti-codon, and T loops). Further hydrogen bonds mediate the characteristic L-shaped molecular structure. tRNAs have two regions of fundamental functional importance: the anti-codon, which is responsible for specific mRNA codon recognition, and the 3' end, to which the tRNAs corresponding amino acid is attached (by aminoacyl-tRNA synthetases). tRNAs cope with the degeneracy of the genetic code in two manners: having more than one tRNA (with a specific anti-codon) for a particular amino acid; and 'wobble' base-pairing, i.e. permitting non-standard base-pairing at the 3rd anti-codon position.
Source: RNAcentral
GGGCGCGUGGUGAAACCGGCAAACACAGCGCCCUCAAAAGGCGCCGCCGCAAGGCUUGAGGGUUCGAGUCCCUCCGCGCCCA